Amblyraja radiata (thorny skate) is the source of this 122-nucleotide long non-coding RNA. RefSeq lists it as uncharacterized. The transcript is spliced from 3 exons. The record is from RefSeq and is a predicted model, not a curated record. NCBI's taxonomy places the organism in Eukaryota, Metazoa, Chordata, Chondrichthyes, Rajiformes, Rajidae.
GGGCCGGAUGCGGAAAUUUCCCGAAAUUAUUUAAUUUCCCUAAAAUCACCCAAAGACAACCAGAGUUUCCCGAAUUUCGGGUAAUUUCCUUCAAAGUGGAAACACAGAGCACAGGGAAGCAG